AAUAAAAAUAAAAAGAAAAAAAUCCAAAAGGGGUUAGGGCUUAGGGCUUUAGGCGCCUUUUUCCCUCUCUCUCGUUCUUGGUUGAAGCGGAGAUGGCGGAGGAGGAUGCGAUGGUUAAAGAAGAGCUAUCCAGCUCCUGCUGUAUUGCCUGGAAGGAAAAGUACGCCAAGUUGAAGGAGAGGUAUUCGAAGCUCGAAGAUGGCCGCAAUGCUCUUCGCAAGGGCCUAUCCAUCUUUGAGCAACAAAUUACCAAGAUACAAUCCGAGAAUCUCACUCUCAAGAAGGCUUAUGAGAGUGAGAAAGUCAGAGCAGACAAUUGGAGUGAAGAAAAAGCAAAAGAAUCAGCUCUGAGGGCCUCCUUAGAGAGUGAAGUUGGCUCUUUAAGGUCCAAUAUUCUUUCAUUGCAGCAGAAUCCAGGUCCAGCCAGUCAAGAUUUGGAGAGAGAAAUGGUACAACUUCGGGAAGUUCUCUCAGAAAAGGAUGCAGAGGUUAGCCGGCUUAAGGAGCUUCUUGAGAAUGAGAGAACUAGAGCUGAUUCAGAGAAAAAGAAAGCUGAGGCAGAGAGGAAAAAAGCUGAUGAUUUAAGGAAAAAAUUGAAAUCUGAGAAAAAUAGGGCAGAUGAAGAAAGGAGGCUUGUUGAUAUUGAAAGAAAAAAGGCUGAGGAAAAUAGGCUUAGGUUGGAGACUGCGAUGAAGGAUGCUAAUGAAGUAAAAUUGAAGUUGGCUUCCGAGACAUCAAAAUUGGUAGAGAUGAAAAAGAAGCUGGAGACGGAAGUACAAAACAGAAUGGAAGAUAGAAAAUCGGCAGACUCAUCAAUAUCUAAAGCUGUAGAGCAAACAAAGCUUGCUGAUACAAACUUAAAGAUUGCCAUGGAUGAGAAACGCCGAGCUGAUGAUUUGUCAAAGCAGUUGGACCAGCAUAGGCAAAGGAUUGAAAUUUUAAAGAAGGAGAUAGUUGAACUUAAGUCAUCUAGAAAAUUAGUUGAUAAGCUACCUGAUAAGGAGAGAGAAGUAGAAGAAAAACUUGCUCAGUUAGAGAUGAAAAAACUAGAAGAUAAGAAAAAAGUUGAGGCAUACAAGAAAAAGGCUGCAGAAGAAAAGUGCCGUGCUGAUCAGUUAUCACGUGAGCUUAAAAAUAACAAGCAAAGGCUAGAGGAGCUACAAAAGGAAAUCCACGUCCUUAUUUCCUCAAGAUCAUUUGCUGAAUCUCCUCUUCAUUCGCAUGAUAGGAGUUUCAAAUACCAAACAGCUAAAAUGAAAUUCUUGAAGAAGCAAUUGAAGUUGGAAAAGAUGAUAGUAAAGCACUCUGAAGAAGCCACAGAGCUUGAAAAAGCUCGUAAUUGUUUACUACAAGAAGAACUACUAUGCUUAAAACAAGAAUUUUCUCAGUUUUCAAAGCGCUUGAAUUUGUUGGAUAAGUAUUUCGUUUGCCGAGGUGAAGGUAUUCAUGACCUGGAAAAGGUAAACUUGAAAAACCAACAAUUUGGUGUUGAACCAUAUCAGAUGCAUUCUCUUCUCAAAGAUGGGCUUGCUCGAGUGGCUGCUGCUGGUGAAACUGAUUCAUUCAGAGAAAAUAUGGAAGGUAGUGCAUCUUUGCUUGCUAUAUCUGGAGGAAAUGGCACUAGAAAUGUUUCAGGUAUUAAUUCUAAAUUGGAGCCGUUGCUUAAAGGCUUCAAUAGAAAAGUAUUACAGAGUUCUGCCAUAAAUUCCAGUUCGACAUCUUUUUCUGAUAGACCAUUGGUGGGCUCACAGGAAAGACCUACUUCUGGCACCACAUCAGCUAAAUUUGCAGAAGAGAAAUCAAACCUUCCAGCAGCCAUAUUGAGGUUAUCUUGUGAUUCAAAAGAAAAGUGUAAUGAGAAUCUUGCAACAAUAACAGAAACUAGUGCCAAAAGUCCUAUUAGUGGUUUUGCUACUGAGAGGAGAGGACUACAUCAAAAGAAAAGGAAGAGGUCUAUUGAAAGUUUGCAUUCUGAGAAAUUACCUCUCCUGCAUACUGUGUUAGAAAGUCAAACUGAUAAAUCUGCAAACGUUGAAAGGUGUUUGCUUCCCGAUGUGCAAGGGAAUAUUUGCAAUCUGCAUGCUAGAUCUUACAAGAAGAGAAAGGCUUCUUUUGAGGAACAGAAUAAGUGUCAUUUAAAUGUAGCAAAUAGGGAAAAUGCGAACCUCAAAAUGUUAGGUAUUGAAGGUUCUGACAUCCACAAAAAAUCAACUUCAUCUGUCCAACAUCGUAGUGAAACUGCUCAUGGUUGGAAGGAUAGGAGUGAUGCUCUUGGAGAUUUUGAGUUAGUGAUUGGAAAUGACUACAUGAAGCUUCUUGAUUUGGAUAAUACUGUAGAUGAAGAAUCUUAUCGUUUAGCAGUUGAAAUGCCUUUGUCACCUACACUUCCAGAGAUUGAGUGUCAAAGCAGCGAUGCACUUGUAGUGAGUAAAUCUUAUCUCUUAUCAGAUAAAACUUCACUUAAGGAAUUUGCGCAUAUGAAGGAGAACCUCGCUCCAUUAGAACAUUUUGAUGUCCUUGACGUGGAAAUUGAUUCAAAUACGGCAAAGCUUGACACCUUAGGGGCUUCAAAUUCAUCAUUACAAGAGAUUAGCGAUCAUGCUGAUACAUCUGGCUUAAAUGGUAAUAGGCUUGAUCACUCUCAAAUUACCCAUGUUAAUACAUCUAAUUCUUCAGGUGAAUCAUUGGGUAUGCCUGAUACAUCAGCCUGUGCAAAUGAGAGAUCGAAGAUUUCAGGUGGAAGCAGAGACAUUCCUUCAAGUCAUAGUAUUCCAAAAUGUUAUGUUGUGUUUUCAAAUAAUGACAAAGACGAAGGCAUUUCCAGGGUAUACUCUGCAGCCAACAACUUUAUAGUUCAGUGUCCAAUGGUUUCUUCUUCAAAUUUGUUUGUUAGGAAUAUUCUCAUCUUCAUUUCUAAUGCUCAAGAUCUUUCAGCUAAAGAGAAGGCCUCCGUGUUCUUGUCACUUGUGCUGCACUACAUUUCUGAAAUGGCACCAAGGGACAUCAGAAAUGGUUGGGAUAGAGACUCAGUCCUGUUUAUUGCAUCUUUUGCUAAGCACAUAUAUGCAGAGCUUUCUGAUGAGAACACUGGAAUAAUUUUUUUCAAAUCAUGCAAUUUGUAUGAACUGCUUGCUCUAUUAGAGGACUUCAUUUUACAUAAAAAAGUCCUGGUAUUUGAUGGUGUAUGCUCUGGUUCAAAGCCUUCAAACAAUUCAAGGAUCAACUUUUUUGUGAAUGGUAAUAGUGUAAGUUUGUUUAGUCAAGCAGCUUCUGUAAACUUGCUAGUAGUUGGGGGCAUUUUGUUAGCAUCAUUAUGUGCUGCAGUUGACCAUAUUGGUUUCAUUUGUGAGGCUUCGUGCAACAUUCUGAGGAUGUCUAGAUCUGACACUUCAUUUGCACUAACAAUUCUUCAUAUCUUUGCCUAUUUGUGUGGGCCUGAGUGCUUUAGCAUCAAGGAGUAUAGCUUUGUAAUGGCUGUGGUGAGAUCCCUUGUUAUGGUUCUUGAGAAGCUUAAUCCUCUCGAACCGAAUUCAUGUUUCCCAUCUUUGCCUGAGGGUCUGUCCAAUAUAUGGUCAGACGGCAAGUGCCCAUUUUCUGAAGAUACAUUUUCGAUGGAUGUCAUCGCAACAAUGCUCCUAGACAAUCUUCAGAACUGUGCCUGGUCUAGUGUAAGGGAAAAGGAUUUGGUUGACACAAUCCAUCCAUCAACAGCUGGAGAGCAGUAUGAUACAGAGAAAACUAUGGACAUUUCUGCUCACAGAGAGGUGGUCAUAUCGCACACUGUUACUGAUGGCAAUGUGUGCUGCUUAGUUGAUGUCCUUGCACUAAUUGAGCUUGUAGCCUGUUUCAUGAGCUGGGAUUGGACUGUUGAGAGCAUUGUUUGCCCAGUGUUCAAAAUGUUGGAAUCAUGUUUACUGGAGCAUGUUCCUGCUGCCAUUGUUAUUCUUCUCGCACAACUUGGAAGGUUUGGGGUUUCUGCUAAUGGAUAUGAAGACAUUGGGGUUCAGAGCUUGAGAACAUGGUUCUUGGCAUUACUCUGCCAGUGUGAUUCUAAAACAGUUGGUCUUGACGUCCAGUUUUCCAUUGGAACUGCUUUACUUGGCCUCAUUUCUCUCAACUUCGAGGAGGUUGUGGAAAGCAAUACUGAAAUUUCUGAAUUUGGAAGUCAAUAUGAUUCUGCCAAUUGCUUAAGGAAGUGGUUUUCACUGUUGAGCAAUGAACACCAAUCGUCUUUCAGGAAUUUGGUUUCUUCAAGUAAAAGUCACCAAACUGGACACAUCCCUAUUGUGCAAUGAUCAGUAGAAUGUAUGGGAGAGGGAUGUAUUGGUUUCUUUCCUUGUGUUUUGUAUUUAGACGGACAUCAAGUUUCCAUGCACAAGUUGUCAAAGUAGGAAUUUUUUUUAUCAACCUGCUUUGGUUAGUCCUGCCUGUGCUUUCAUUCUUGAACUAUGAUGGGAUAUUCAAAGGUCAAGGUCCCUGUAAUUGACAUAGGCAGCCCUUGGAGAAGAUGAUACAUAGGGCCUCAUGAAGUCGUGGAGCGUUCGGAUCCACCGUAUGGAAGCUUCUCCUUCUCUGUCUUCUCCCCAUUUCACCAGAUCUUUGGGCAGCUUAGCUGCAAUGAAUUGCCAUCUGUGGACGAGUUUUAUUCCUUGUUCUGGACUCAAGGUAAU
RNA transcript from Ipomoea nil (Japanese morning glory), 4670 nucleotides. RefSeq lists it as uncharacterized. NCBI's taxonomy places the organism in Eukaryota, Viridiplantae, Streptophyta, Magnoliopsida, Solanales, Convolvulaceae. The record is from RefSeq and is a predicted model, not a curated record. The transcript has 10 exons.